UACGUAGGGCGCAAGCGUUGUCCGGAAUUAUUGGGCGUAAAGCGCUCGUAGGCUGCUUGUCACAUCGGGUGUGAAAGCCCGGGGCUUAACCCCGGGUCUGCAUUCGAUACGGGCUAGCUAGAGUGUGGUAGGGGAGAUCGGAAUUCCUGGUGUAGCGGUGAAAUGCGCAGAUAUCAGGAGGAACACCGGUGGCGAAGGCGGAUCUCUGGGCCAUUACUGACGCUGAGGAGCGAAAGCGUGGGGAGCGAACAGG
RNAcentral lists this ribosomal RNA (253 nucleotides) under uncultured bacterium. Its description in RNAcentral is "partial 16S ribosomal RNA". It matches the Rfam family "Bacterial small subunit ribosomal RNA", at positions 524 to 776 of the family's 1533-position model. The record is from RNAcentral.